UACGGGGGGGGCAAGCGUUGUUCGGAAUUACUGGGCGUAAAGGGCUCGUAGGCGGCCAACUAAGUCGGAUGUGAAAUCCCCAGGCUCAACCUGGGAACUGCAUCCGAUACUGGAUGGCUUGAAUUCGGGAGAGGGAUGCAGAAUUCCAGGUGUAGCGGUGAAAUGCGUAGAUAUCUGGAGGAAUACCGGUGGCGAAGGCGGCAUCCUGGACCGACACUGACGCUGAUGAGCGAAAGCUAGGGGAGCAAACGGG
Molecule: ribosomal RNA, 253 nt
Filed under: uncultured bacterium
Lineage: Bacteria
Description: partial 16S ribosomal RNA
Rfam family: Bacterial small subunit ribosomal RNA
Source: RNAcentral